This 8157-nucleotide long non-coding RNA is filed under the name Nicotiana tabacum (common tobacco). RNAcentral describes it as "long non-coding RNA (NTAB_LNC005794)". Lineage: Eukaryota; Viridiplantae; Streptophyta; Magnoliopsida; Solanales; Solanaceae. The record is from RNAcentral.
AAUACUAAGUGGCAGAUAAUAUCAUAAAUAUGCGGAAGGACAACCCAACACAGCCCGAUACCGGGGUGUCACUAGUCAUGAGCAUCUAUAUAUCCUACUACAGAUCCAAUAAGUCUAUAAACUAUUACAACUUUCUAAUCAGAAAUAGAAAUGAAAAAAAGGGAGAAACACGGGACUGCGGACGUCAAGCAGCUACCUCGUGAACUCCGAAUGUCCGCCGGGAGCUCUCAACUCGCACUGACAAGAUCAGUAAUGCCUGAAUCUGCACACAGGGGUGCAGGGAGUAAAGUGAGUAAUCCAACUCAGUGAGUAACAAAUGUAAAUAAAGACUAAAAGCAAGAAAUCACGUAAGGCAGAAAGCAUUCUAUAAUGAAGUAGUAAAACCAUUUAAAAAUCCGUGAAUCAGUGAAAGAUAGGUAAAAUCCUUUAACUCAAAUGUAGUUUCAUGAAAAUCCUUUUUCAAUAAUUAAGCAGUUAAUUGAUAGUCAAUUAUGAAAAGUAAACACAUAAAGGCUCUCCCCUGGGGCAUAGUAUCAAGAAAUCCGUCCCUCGGACAACAUCUCAGAACAGUACCAGCCCAUCGGGCUCAAUCUCACAUCACAAUGGGUACUCGCACUCACUGGGGGUGUACAGACUCCUGGAGGGGCCCCAUACGACCCAAGAGCAAUAUCAAGCCACCUCGUGGCAUCAUCACUAGGCAAUCGGCCUCAUAUCAAUCAAGCCACCUCGUGGCAUACAUAUCUCAGGCCCUCGGCCUCAUAAUCAAUAUUGAAUAUUCCCUCACAACACAGGCCCUCCGCCUUACUCAGUCAAAAAUCCUCACCACGCACUCAGGCAGUAGUAAAACAUGUUUCUCAGCCCAAAAUAUCAUUUAAAAGAUCAUUUAAGUGUUAAAACAAAGUAAACAUGGCUGAGUACGAAAACAAUGAAAUAUAAUAUGACUGAGUUCAAGUAUAAAGUCAAACUAGAGAGAAAAUAUCAGUAAAAAUCCCCGAAGGGUUCAAAUAGUUGGCAUUCGGCCCAAAUAAUGAUGAUAACAAAUAGAUUUCAGUCAAAUAUGCGGUAAAAUUAUCAAUCGGGACGGACAAAGUCACAAUCCCCAAUAGUGCACUACCCCACGCUCAUCAUCAAGCGUGCCUCACCUCAACAUAGCACUACGAUGUCCAAUUCGGGGAUUCAAGCCCUCAGAACAUCAUUUACAAUCGUUACUCACUUCGAACAGGUCAAAUUUCUAGCUCGCGAUGCCUUUUCCCCUUGAAUCGGCCUCCACUCGCGUCGAAUCUAUCCAAAAUCAGAAUGAGGACGUCAAAAUAUACUAAGGAAUCGAAGCCCAAGUGAAAAUAAUCAAUUUAUAACAUAAAUUCCAAAAUUACCAAAACCCGACCCCUGGGCCCACGUCUCAGAUUUCAAUAAUAUUUACAUCAAUAGAUUCCUUAUCUCCCCACGAGUUCAUACAUAUCAAAAGUUCUCAAAUCCGACCCCAAAUGGUCCUUCAAAUCCCCAAUUAAAGGUUUAAGUUUUCAAGCCUUAGUUUUCCCAAUUGUCACCUUUAAUUUCCAGAAUUUCUAGCCCUAAUCCGUGAAAUAAUAGCAUAGGAACAAGUUUUUAAGUCCAAAUCCUUACCUCAAUGAAGUUCCCUUGAAAUUCCUCUUUCAAAUCGUCCAAAAAGCUCCAAAGCCGGGAUAAAAAUGGUAAAAAUAGCUAAAAUUCGCGAAUGCCACAAUUUAUAACUUCUGUCCAGACCUUUUCGCAUCUGCAGUGUAAUACUCGCUUCUGCGAUACCGUAUAUGCGGUUCUUUUCUCCGUUUCUGCGAAAAUCACUUAUUCCCCUUAGUUUGCAUCUGCGGUACCCUACCCGCACCUGCGACAUCGCAGAUGCGGUCCUCUUAGCCGCUUCUUCGGUUCCUGCUCCUAAAGCCAUUUUUGCUUCUGCGAUCAAUUCCUCCGCUUAUGCGGCACCGCACCUGCAGUCCCAAAUCUGCAGGUGCGGAAAUACUAGAAGCAGCAAAUUCAGUAGCUGCAACAAAGUCCAAACUUCUCCGUUAACCAUCCGAAAUCACCUCGAGGCCCUCGGGACCUCAACCAAAAACACAAACAUAUCCUAAUACCUUAUUCAAACUUGUACCAAUUUUCAAAAUACCUCAAACAACAUCAAUUCAACCAAAACACAUCGUUUUCAAGCAAAAUUUUCUAAAAUCUUUCAAAUUCCGCUUUUGAUCAAAAACCCAAUCAAAUCACGUCCGAAUGACCUGAAAUUUUGCACACACAUCCCAAAUGACACAACGAAACUACUGCAACUCUAGGAAUUCCAUUUCGACCCCUAUAUCAAAAUCUCGUCUACCAACCGGAAAUCGCCAAAUUAUCAACUUCGCCAAUUCAAGUCUAAAUCCACUAUGAACCUCCAAAACUCAUUCCGAUCACGCUCCUAAGUCAUAAAUCACCUCCCAAAGCUAACCGAACUAUCAGAACUCACAUUCGAGCCCUUUAACACAUAAGUCAACAUCCGGUUGACUUUUCCAACUUAAACUCACUCUAAAAAGACUAAGUGUCUCAAACCUUACAAAAUCUUUUCCAAACUCGAUCCGACCAACCCGAUACCACAUAACACGGAUAAACAAAGCAUAAAGAAGCAAAAGUAGGGAAAACAGAGCGGUAACUCAUGAGACGACUGGCCGGGUCAUCACAUCGAAAUUGUAUUCUAUUAAAAGAGUAAUUUUUAUUAAAAACUUCUGGUGGUAAAAUAUUGAAGUUUUUGCAAAAAUUCAUCUUCAAAAAAAAUCAAUAGCUCCUAGUAAAGUACUAGCAGUAUUUUCAUUCUGAAGUACUUGCAUAAUUAUUCGCUCCAGUAAUAUUAGUACUGAAAUCUUUAUCAAUGGCAGUACUAGAAUUUUCUAAUUUGAAAAUUCUUUCAUCUAAGGCUAUAUUUGAUGUCUUUAACUCCGAGAUUUCUUUUUUGAGAUAAUUUAUCUCAGUACACAAAUCUUGGACAGUAGUCGGCCUAUCAGGAUGGGACUUAUUUUUAAUAAGUCUUCUGAUUUCAAACAUAGUGGAAGGCCCGAGGUCCCAAAUUAUUGAUAAAUUUCCUACAAGUUCAGAGUUAGGAAUAGAGGUGGAAGGUAUUCCAUCUCUAAAAGGGCCUUACACUAUGCCUGAAAUCAGAAGACUUAUUAAAAAUAAGUCUCAUCCUGAUAGGUCGGCUACUAUCCAAGAUUUGUGUACUGAGAUAAAUUAUCUCAAAAAAUAAAUCUUGGAGUUAAAGGCUACAAAUAUAGCCUCGGAUGAAAGAAUUUUCAAAUUAUAAAAUUCUAGACUGCCAUUGAUAAAGAUUUCAGUACUAAUAUUACUGGAGCGAAUAAUUGUGCAAGUACUUUCAGAAGAAAAUUCAUGUUGUACUUUACUAGGAGCUAUUGAUUUUUAUGAUGAUGAAUUUUUGCAAAAACUUCAAUAUUUUACCACCCAAAAUUUUUUAAUAAAAGUUGCUCUUUUAAUAGAUUACAAUUUCAAAAAGGAGUUUACUGCUCUAUUUGAUAGUGGAGCAGAUUUAAGUUGUAUAAAAGGAGUAAUACCCUCCAGAUAUUUUUAUAAAACCACUCAUCGUUUAAAAAACGCUAGUGGUGGUCAAAUGGGUAUUUUAUAUAAAUUGCCCAGGGAUUAUAUUUGCCAAGAGGAUGUAUGUGUACCAGAAAAUUUUAUUUCGGUAAAGGAUAUUGUUCAUGACGUAAUACUAGGUGUCACAUUUUUUUUUAAAUUGAUUCCCUUUACACAUUAGGAUACAAGAAGUUUUACUGGAACUUAUAAAGGAAAAGGAAUCACUUUUGAGUUUAUAACUCAGCCAAUCCUAAGUUUUUUGAAUGAAAUUAUUUCUAAUAAUAUUUCUUCAAAGGUCAAUCAAAUUGAAUUUUUAAAAAAUAAAAUGUGUUCUCUUACUAUUGAACAGGAUUUUAUAAAUCCCAAAUUAGUAGAAAAAAUUAAUUUUCUCAAAAAUCAUUUUCCGCUUCUAUUUGUGGUGACCAUCCAAAUCAAUUUUGGAGCAUGAAAAAGUAUAUCAUAAGUCUUCCUUAUGAAGUAGGUUUUUCUGAGGAUAAUAUCCCUACCAAGGCUCGUCCUUGUCAGAUGAACUCCGAUUAUUUGGAAUUAUUCAAAAAGGAAAUUGAUUCCUUACAACAGAAGGGUUUAAUUAGACCCUCAAAGUUCAAAUGGUCUUGUACUGCUUUUUAUGUAAAUAAUCAUGCUGAACAGGAAUGAGGAGUUGCCAGAUUAGUUAUCAACUACAAGCCCCUCAAUAAGGUCUUGAAAUGGAUUAGAUAUCCUAUUCCUAAAAAGGACUUAUUAGAUAGAUUACAUGAUGCCAUUAUAUUUUCGAAAUUUGACUUGAAAUCAGGUUAUUGGCAAAUUCAGAUAUCUAAAUCGGAUAGGUAUAAAACUGCUUUUAAUGUUCCAGUGGGUCAAUAUGAAUGGAAUUUAAUGCCCUUUGAUUUAAAGAAUGCGCCAUCCGAAUUUCAAAAAAUUAUGAAUAAUAUCUUCCUUCCUUAUACGGAUUUUAUAAUUGUAUAUAUUGAUGAUAUCUUGAUAUUUUCAAAAAAUGUUGAGUCUCAUUUUAAACAUUUAGAUUUGUUUUAAAAAAUUAUUAUUCAAAAUGGUUUAGUUAUAUCCAAACCAAAAAUGAUGAUUUUUCAAAAUAACAUUAGAUAUCUCGGUCAUAAUAUCGACAAGGGUAGAACUAUUCCCAUUAAUAGAAGUAUUGAAUUUGCUUCUAAGUUCCCUGAUAUUAUCACUGAUAAGACUCAACUUCAACGAUUCCUAGGAAGCUUAAAUUAUAUUUCUCCCUUUAUAAAGGAUUUAGCCAAAGGUACUGCUCUUCUUUAUGAUAGAUUGAAGUAGAAUGUGAAAGCUUAGACUGAUAGUCAUACAAAAUCAGUCAAAAGAAUUAAACAAAAGGUUAAUAACCUUCCCUGUUUAACUCUAGCUAAUCCCAUUUGGGCAAAGGUUGUUGAAACUGAUGCUUCUGAUAUUGGUUAUGGUGGGAUAUUAAAAUAAUAUUCUCCAAUGGAUAAACAAGAAUAUCUUGUUCAGUUUUACUCAGGAAAGUUAAAUGAUUCCCAGAAAAAUUAUGCAACUGUAGCUAGGAAAAUUCUUGCUAUAGUGAAAUGUGUUAUGAAACCUUCAAAGAGGUAGUGAAGGAGAGUUGGAAUGCUGAUUUUAGUGCUAACCCUUUCUGCAUUUUUAACUACAAGUUAAAGAAGCUUAAGCAAGCACUAUCUACCUGGAGCAGAGCUACAUAUGGGGAUAUAUUCCAAAAGAUUGCAAGCCUUGAGGAGGUGGUAUUGGUUCAUGAAAGACAAUUUGAAGUCAAUCCUACACAGAUGAACAGACAAAGAUUACGAAGGUCCAAGCUAAAAUGAUUAAAUAUCUUGCAUUAGAAGAAGAAUUCUAGAGGCAAAAAGCUGGCAUGUUAUGGUUCAAAGAUGGCGAUAGAAACACUAAUUUCUUACAUGCUCAGGUUAAUGGGAGAAGGAAGAGACUAAAAUUAUCAAGGAUCCAGAAUAUCCUUGGUAACUGGAUUGAAGAAUAUCACUUAAUAGCAGAAGAAGCAGUAAAGUUCUACAAGGAUCAAUUUACUGAGAGUGUAGUGCCUAAUGAUUUUGAUAUUCUAAAUCAUGUACCUUCAAUGGUAGAUAGCGAUCAACAUGAGAGAUUGAUGGUUUUGCCUUCCAAUGAAGAAGUGAAGAGCGCAGUUAUGGGGUUGAAUGGGGACUCAGCAGGCGGACCAGAUGGUUUCACUGGAGCCUUUUUCCAAACAUGCUGGGAAAUCAUUGAAGAAGAUGUAGUCGGCAUGGUCAGGGCUUUCUUUUGCGGUCAGCAAUUGCCAAAAAGUGUGACACAUACAAACCUGGUUUUAUUACCAAAGAAAAAGAAGUGAUGACCUUUGCAAACAUGAGACCAAUCAGUCUCAGCAGCUUUGUUAACAAGAUUUUCUCGAGGGUUAUUCAUGAAAGGUUGGUUGAAUUUUUACCAAACUUAAUCUCACAGGAACAGGUAGGUUUUGUGAAGGGAAGAAGUAUAGUUGAGAAUGUACUAUUAACUCAAGAAAUCAUUACGGAUAUCAGGUUGAGAACAAAAGCAGGCCCAAAUGUUUUGAUUAAGCUCGACAUGACAAAAGCUUACGAUAGGCUAUUAUGGCUUUUCCUUACCAAAAUGCUAAGGAAGAUGAUUUUCUCCGCUUCUCCGCUUCUGUUGAUCAUCUCGGAUUAUUGACUUGCAUUCUUGCCACGAGCUUCUGCUACUUCUGACUUGAAUUGAAUUCUGAAAAAACUUCCUUUGUUCUCCAGGUGGCGCCUGAUUGCUAAAACUUGAACUGACUUCCGUUGAAACUUGAACUGCUUUCCCUUGAAACUCGAAUUGUUUUCCACUUGGGAUAAUUUAUGGUGUCCCAAGUCACCAGUUCAAAUCCCGAAUCGAGGAAAGAUUGACUCUGUAUUACAGUCCGCGAAUCAGAAAUCCGGGUAAGGAAUUCUGUUAAUUCGGGAGAAGGCGUUAGGCAUUCCCGAAUUCUGUGGUUCUAGCACGGUCGCUCAACUGUUAUAAAUGGCCCAUUAUCUGAUUUUAAUACAUGUUUAAACCUAUGUGCAUUUUAACUUAUUAACCGCUUUUAAUUACUUUUAGGAAGAUUCAACGUUAUCUAAAACAUGUCUUUGAACCACGCCACAUGAAAUGCACCCGCGGUCCGCGACACAUUUUAUUUAACGUUGUUGAAAUUUGGAUUUGGGUCACAUGAAAUACACACCUGAGUUUAGGAAGGUAAUAUAAUUAAAAUAAUGUGCCUAAAGCAACAACGCAUUUUUAAAUUUGCGAGGGCCAUGGAAAAUUUGCUAAAUGGCGCGCCUCAAUUUCUAAGGAUUAAAAGUUAUUAAAUAAGGGCCAUGUGAAGUAUGGAAAGUUGUUUGUGGAAGAGGCGUAAGAUUCAACUAUUAGGAUUAUUAACAAGUCAUCUAUAACUUCAUGUCAGAUCUAUUGCUAAUCACAUGGACUUUAUUCAAUUACUCAUUAAAGAAGAACUGAACCAGUAGACUAUACCAUGUCAUUAUUUUGAAACAUAAUUAAAAAAAAAAAAAAAAAAACUUGUACAUGUGCAUUUGAUAACAAGCGGAUUUAUAUAUGUCAAAUCUUCACUUAUUUCUCCAAACAACACCUUCAAUUUUUCAUAAUCCUCAACAAUCUUCAUAGCAGAACUCAAGCUCUUACAAUAAGCUUGUUAUCAAAUGCCUAUUUGAAGUGAAACAACGUUCUUUCAUGGUGAAAAUUAACAAUUAAUGGUAGUUGAAAUUAUACUGUUUCAUAAAAUGAUAAUAUCCCAAUUCCAAGCAUAAAAUCCAAGUGCUAAUGGAUAAGUAAUAAAGGUAAAGGACGGGUACAUUAUACAUAUAUAUAUAUAUAUAUAUAUAUAUAUUUAAAGAUAUGCUGCUUUCCAAUUCCAUUUCUAAUUUGGUAACUCUUGAAAUCUCCUAAUUCACGAGCUCUUUUUUAUUUUCAUUUAAUAUUUCAAACAAAUACCACACAAAACUAUAUAAAUAUUGGGGAAAAGACAAUAGAAAUGAGGUUGCAAAAGAUAACAAAGAAAAGAAAAGGAAGAGAAAAUUGAAGCCACACGUACAUACCUGUACUAAGCCAUUUACAGAACUAAUAGCAGAUCCAUCAUUUAUAUACUACAAAGCUGUGUAUCGAUCUCUUAGGGAAAAAACAAGGAGCAAUAUAGUGAUGAAAGAGGAAGAAACCCAGUUGCAGUCCAAGCAAGUAGUCAGCGAUAAAAUAGCCCUCCGAAAACUCGAUUCAACUUUGAAAACCCGGCUACUGUAGAGCCAAAUUAACCAACCUCAACAGCUCUUCGAAGUCAUUUUUUUUAACAAAAUUUUGUGCUCCUCGGCUUUCUUUUUUUUAGAUAUCAAGUUGACACUUUUCGCUUUUGAGAUUCAUUUGCCGGAGUCAACUUCACAUCCUUUCUAUGGAUCCCUCUAUGCGUGAGUCUAAAUGGACAAAUAUAUAGUUCAAUAUGUGUGUACAGAUGUAAGGAAAGGUGAAAUUUGUGUGUAUUUUUGGUUUCUCUGCUGAGAGCGAAAUGUGGAAAUGAUGUCAAAUGGCGCUAAGGUUGGGGAGGUCUAA